AAACAUGUCUUAAAGAUUAUAAUUUUAGGUCUGAUCUGCUCCAUGAUUUAAAUAAAUUAAAUAGCUGCAGAAUUUUAACUGUACAAAGGUAGCAUAAUAAAUAGUUUUUUAAUUAAAAGCUGGAAUGAAGGAUUUGAUAAGGUAAAUAUUGUCUCAAAUUUAAUAGUAUUAUAAUUUUUAUUUUAGUAAAAAUGCUAAGAUGAAUUUAAAAGACGAGAAGACCCUAUAGAUUUUUAUAUUUAAUAUUAAAUUAUUUUAAAUUUAUAAAUAAAAUUUAAUAGAAUAAUAUUAGGUUGGGGAAAUUAUUAAAUUAAAUAAAUUUUAAUAUUUUAUAAACAAUAAUUAUUGAUUAAUUGAUCUUAAUGUAUAAAAUAAAAGAAUAAAAUACCUUAGGGAUAACAGCGUAAUUUUUUUUGAGAGUUCUAAUUGAUAAAAAAGUUUGCGACCUCGAUGUUGAAUUAAGAUAAAAUUUUAAUGAAGAAGUUAAAAAUUUUUGGUCUGUUCGACCAUUAAAAUCUUACAUGAUCUGAGUUCAAACCGG
This 541-nucleotide ribosomal RNA is filed under the name Digonocryptus narratorius. RNAcentral's name for it is "partial 16S large subunit ribosomal RNA". The stretch from base 395 to 541 matches the Rfam family "Bacterial large subunit ribosomal RNA", at positions 2473 to 2619 of the family's 2925-position model. Lineage: Eukaryota; Metazoa; Arthropoda; Insecta; Hymenoptera; Ichneumonidae. The record is from RNAcentral.